AGCCAUGCCGCGUGUAUGAAGAAGGCCUUCGGGUUGUAAAGUACUUUCAGCGGGGAGGAAGGGAGUAAAGUUAAUACCUUUGCUCAUUGACGUUACCCGCAGAAGAAGCACCGGCUAACUCCGUGCCAGCAGCCGCGGUAAU
This 142-nucleotide ribosomal RNA is filed under the name uncultured bacterium. RNAcentral describes it as "partial 16S ribosomal RNA". It matches the Rfam family "Bacterial small subunit ribosomal RNA", at positions 390 to 524 of the family's 1533-position model. The record is from RNAcentral.